RNAcentral lists this long non-coding RNA (526 nucleotides) under Anas platyrhynchos platyrhynchos (common mallard). RNAcentral describes it as "lncRNA (ENSAPLG00000028620.1)". The record is from RNAcentral. Lineage: Eukaryota; Metazoa; Chordata; Aves; Anseriformes; Anatidae.
AUGCUGGGGCCUGGUGAGGAUCGGGGCUGUGUGCCUGCUGCCAUGCUCUGCCCUCGGUUGUGCUGGGCACUGCACUCUACUUCUGGCCUGGCACUGCGUGAACCUGGGGAGCUUUGGGGGAUGUAUUGUAGUGAGCUGGGAGACACAGACAGGCACUGCCAAAAUGCUGAGCACCCAGAGCCAGACACACAUGGACGUGACCACGCCAUGGGCAGAGCACGGGCAAGGCUCACGCUCGGCAGGAUUUCCUCUCCGUGCUAUCUCCUCACUGUGUCUUGGGUGCCCUUCCCAGUGCCCAGAAAUGGCAAGGCGUGAGCGCAGGGCGGCCGAGAGGGAGCACCCAGCUGCCUGGCACAGAGGGCGAGCCUGGCUAAGGGAGCCCGCAGGAAGAGCCAAGAGACUGUCAUGACACUGAGCUCUCCUCCGUGCUAAUUGUACGCUUGGGACCAAAUUUAGCCUGGUGCAACUCUGCUGAAGUCACCAGGGAUUAAUUUGGCCUCUGGUGGCUCCAUUGUUUUAGCUAAAU